CGAGGCUUGGAUUUGAGGGUCUGCUGGCGAUGAGCAGCUCCCUUUAAAGACAUUAGCGGGACGAUAAGGACUCCUUGCGAUCGACGUGAUAAUUAUCUGCGUCCAUAUCCGAGGUCUCCGAAGUCUGCUUCCAACCGUCUUCGGACACGCAUCUUGACCAUUUUGACCUCAAAUCAGGUAGGACUACCCGCUGAACUUAA
This 200-nucleotide unclassified non-coding RNA is filed under the name soil metagenome. RNAcentral describes it as "partial contains internal transcribed spacer 2 and large subunit ribosomal RNA". The record is from RNAcentral.